GCAUUACACAGGUCCAUGCCCCAGUCGUGUUGCAGAUAUGGCUGUAGUGCCAUGUUUGUGUCAUUAGGUGGCAGAAAGGAAAAGGCUGUGUCUUUGC
Molecule: microRNA precursor, 97 nt
Filed under: Gallus gallus (chicken)
Lineage: Eukaryota; Metazoa; Chordata; Aves; Galliformes; Phasianidae
Description: microRNA gga-mir-3528 precursor
Rfam family: Small nucleolar RNA SNORA17 (bases 15-97)
About the family: snoRNA ACA 17 belongs to the H/ACA family of snoRNAs and is predicted to guide pseudouridylation of the 28S rRNA at positions U4659 and U4598. It shares the same host gene together with ACA43. NB This family has a high threshold value to exclude a large number of closely related sequences that do not appear to have conserved H and ACA boxes, and may be pseudogenes.
Source: miRBase by way of RNAcentral